Paramuricea clavata is the source of this 1126-nucleotide non-coding RNA. The record is from the annotation of a GenBank genome assembly. Lineage: Eukaryota; Metazoa; Cnidaria; Anthozoa; Malacalcyonacea; Plexauridae.
GAUCGACUACGACUAGGGGAAGAGUUUUAGCUUUUGGAAGUUGUAAAGGUAAUUAGACCGAGUUUGUAUUUGCUGCAUUAAUGCUAACGAUAGAUAGUGCUUGCAUCAAUUGCACAUAGAAUAUGUUAAUGUUGUAUAUAUUUGAAUGUGUAUGCGGUAGAUUAAGGUUAACAUUUCUAUAGCGCAAGUUUACGAAGCUGGUUAACUCGGGCCACUGACCAACUCGGCCCAUACCAUCUUGGCCCAAUUGUUAACUACUGUUUGACAUAUUGGGAAAGCUAAUAUUUUACAAAAGAUAGCACCAAACCAAUACAGCCAUUUGCAGUUGCAUUGGGCGUACAGAUGAGUAAAGUUUGAGAACAUCCAGUUUGACUUAAUUUAAUUAAAGAAUCUAUCGAAGUUUCAAAUUCUCGAUCUGUCCGUUUUGAUACUAAAUUACUGAUCAUUCAAAUUUCUCUCAAAAUUCGCAAAGAUAGAACGCAGUCAUGGCUCCUAGCUUGUUUAAUGGUUAGAUUAGUCAGUUUAUGAGCGGGCGGAGUUGGUCCUUGAACGGUGGGCCGAGUUGGUUAGUGGGCCGAGUUGACUGUCGGCGGAGCGUUGACAGACGGCCACCGAUGCCCCGCUGUCCAGAUAACAACAUAAUAAAUGUCUAGAUGACAACGUCAUUCUGCAGUUCAUGCAAAAUUAAACCGAUAAGUUUAAAUGAAAUUUACUUUUUCUCAUAGAUAGCGCUGAGUAAAGAAAGAUUUUGGUGAAACAUGGAUGUAAGGUUUUGUAACGUGUUUUGUUUCCAAACAAUGUAUCGUCAUCAUCAUCAUCACCAUCAUCAUUAUCGUCAUGACGAUCAUUGCACCAUCAUGAGAGUCAAGAUCGUUUCAUGAACACUAUAUCACACUUAUAUUACCAUGAUCACCAACACUUUAAACUUAUAACUAGUAUAUUGCGAAUGAACCAGAAACAUCAACUCUAUUCCUAGAACGGUUUGGAUGGUCGUAUUUUCCCAAUCAAUUUAACUGAUGAUCCAAACAAAACUGACUAUGACUGCAUUAUUUUCGUGAGUGAAAAUCUGGACUUUACAGACCCUCAACUACAGUUCUUGAAAGCACCACUCCAAGAAAGAAAGACG